AAAUUGAAGAGUUUGAUCAUGGCUCAGAUUGAACGCUGGCGGCAGGCCUAACACAUGCAAGUCGAACGGUAACAGGAAGCAGCUUGCUGCUUCGCUGACGAGUGGCGGACGGGUGAGUAAUGUCUGGGAAACUGCCUGAUGGAGGGGGAUAACUACUGGAAACGGUAGCUAAUACCGCAUAACGUCGCAAGACCAAAGAGGGGGACCUUCGGGCCUCUUGCCAUCGGAUGUGCCCAGAUGGGAUUAGCUAGUAGGUGGGGUAACGGCUCACCUAGGCGACGAUCCCUAGCUGGUCUGAGAGGAUGACCAGCCACACUGGAACUGAGACACGGUCCAGACUCCUACGGGAGGCAGCAGUGGGGAAUAUUGCACAAUGGGCGCAAGCCUGAUGCAGCCAUGCCGCGUGUAUGAAGAAGGCCUUCGGGUUGUAAAGUUCUUUCCGCGGGGGGGAAGGUGAUAAGGUUAAUAACCUUGUCGAUUGACGUUACCCGCAGAAGAAGCACCGGCUAACUCCGUGCCAGCAGCCGCGGUAAUACGGAGGGUGCAAGCGUUAAUCGGAAUUACUGGGCGUAAAGCGCACGCAGGCGGUCUGUCAAGUCGGAUGUGAAAUCCCCGGGCUCAACCUGGGAACUGCAUUCGAAACUGGCAGGCUAGAGUCUUGUAGAGGGGGGUAGAAUUCCAGGUGUAGCGGUGAAAUGCGUAGAGAUCUGGAGGAAUACCGGUGGCGAAGGCGGCCCCCUGGACAAAGACUGACGCUCAGGUGCGAAAGCGUGGGGAGCAAACAGGAUUAGAUACCCUGGUAGUCCACGCCGUAAACGAUGUCGACUUGGAGGUUGUGCCCUUGAGGCGUGGCUUCCGGAGCUAACGCGUUAAGUCGACCGCCUGGGGAGUACGGCCGCAAGGUUAAAACUCAAAUGAAUUGACGGGGGCCCGCACAAGCGGUGGAGCAUGUGGUUUAAUUCGAUGCAACGCGAAGAACCUUACCUACUCUUGACAUCCAGAGAACUUAGCAGAGAUGCUUUGGUGCCUUCGGGAACUCUGAGACAGGUGCUGCAUGGCUGUCGUCAGCUCGUGUUGUGAAAUGUUGGGUUAAGUCCCGCAACGAGCGCAACCCUUAUCCUUUGUUGCCAGCGGUUAGGCCGGGAACUCAAAGGAGACUGCCAGUGAUAAACUGGAGGAAGGUGGGGAUGACGUCAAGUCAUCAUGGCCCUUACGAGUAGGGCUACACACGUGCUACAAUGGCGCAUACAAAGAGAAGCGACCUCGCGAGAGCAAGCGGACCUCAUAAAGUGCGUCGUAGUCCGGAUUGGAGUCUGCAACUCGACUCCAUGAAGUCGGAAUCGCUAGUAAUCGUGGAUCAGAAUGCCACGGUGAAUACGUUCCCGGGCCUUGUACACACCGCCCGUCACACCAUGGGAGUGGGUUGCAAAAGAAGUAGGUAGCUUAACCUUCGGGAGGGCGCUUACCACUUUGUGAUUCAUGACUGGGGUGAAGUCGUAACAAGGUAACCGUAGGGGAACCUGCGGUUGGAUCACCUCCUUACCUUAAAGAA
Molecule: ribosomal RNA, 1552 nt
Filed under: Enterobacter cloacae
Lineage: Bacteria; Pseudomonadati; Pseudomonadota; Gammaproteobacteria; Enterobacterales; Enterobacteriaceae
Description: bacterial SSU rRNA
Rfam family: Bacterial small subunit ribosomal RNA
Source: RNAcentral